This is a long non-coding RNA of Helianthus annuus (common sunflower), 814 nucleotides long. RefSeq lists it as uncharacterized. The transcript has 3 exons. Lineage: Eukaryota; Viridiplantae; Streptophyta; Magnoliopsida; Asterales; Asteraceae. The record is from RefSeq and is a predicted model, not a curated record.
CGACGACGGUGCUGGUUCGAAUGAAGUGCAUGAGCUUUAUAUACGGUUUAAUGUUUUAAUCAUAAACAUGAGUACUUUUGUUACUUAAAAAUGUUAUCCUACAAGAGAAUGUUGUAGAUCCAGACUCUAAACUGUCUAAAGAAGAAGAAGGGAGCAGUGAUGAUGACGAGGACUCCGAGGGCUCAGGCGGAGAAGAUGAUGGUUCUGAAGAGGAGGAUGAACCUAAAACCAUAAAGAUAACCAUUGAUGUUCCAUCAGCAACAAAAGCACCUCAAACUCCGGCAAUAGGAUCCAAAACUUUGUUUGUCAACAAUCUAAGUUACUCUGUGGGAGAAAUUGAUAUACUUAUUUUUUUCAAAGAUGCUGGUGAAGUUGUUGAGCUCCGGCUUUCCUUGAGAGAUGGUCGAUUUGUAGGUUAUGCGCAACUCAGAAGAUUUAUUUUAACCUCUUUCUUUAUUAUUUUAGUUAAAUUACUAUUUAUUUUUUCAAACUAAUUGGCAUAAUUCUAUUUGUAGGCCCUUGAACUCAAUAAUGAAUUAUUACUCGACUGUGCUGUGAGACUUGAUUUAGCAAAGGAAAAGGGUGCUUACACUCCUGGAUACUGAUUCUUUCUUAUUAAGAUUUCAUAUCUGAUUAAAAGUUACAGCAUGAAUCGACGAUUAAAAAUUUAUUAUGUUUACUCGACCGUGCUGUGCGACUUGACUUAGCAAAGGAAAAGGGUGCUUACACUCCUGGGUACUGAUUCUUUCUUAGUAAGAUUUCAUAUCUGAUUAAUAGUUACAACAUGAAUCGACGAUUGAACUUUUAUUAUGUA